GGGCCUGUAGGUUAGUCUGGCCUAUACUUCGCGGCUGGGGGNCGCGCGACCCAGGNUCAAAUCCUGGCAGGCCCACCA
This 78-nucleotide transfer RNA is filed under the name Methanobacteriota archaeon. RNAcentral describes it as "Euryarchaeota archaeon tRNA-Pro". Lineage: Archaea; Methanobacteriati; Methanobacteriota. The record is from RNAcentral.